AGUUGCUGUAGACAAGAACUGGCGUAAUCACAAUGGGCUGAGCAGAUUCCUCAUGUUUCUUACUUCCGUGAUUUCACAGGGUGCUUUGAAAGGCAAACAAACCGUGGGAAAUGCUGCCUAUAAUCAAGAUGAAAACCGUCUUAGAAGCAACAAUAUUUUUCAACCUGCUGGACCAUGCAAUUUAGCGAACAUUUUGGUACCAGUGCGCUGGUGGGAAAAACUGCACUUAAAUCAAAACAUUUAAUUUUACUUGGACAAGUGUCUUAUUUUAUUGGUAUAUCCCUAUUUAAGAUUUUUCUAAAAUCACCAAGACCAGAAUUAUUGAGACUACAUCAAUGUUUUACCAGAGCAAUGAAUAGACGAAGAAAAAUGAUGCAGUAAGAAGUACCAUAAAAGUCAAAACUAGCCUCCCCCAGUCCCCAGGAGAGGAAGACAUAAUGUCAGCUUGGCCAGUGAUUUCAAUGCUGCUUGGGAGCCAGAACAGAAGGAACUGGCUGCACAACUGGAGGAUGUCACAGUACAGGCUCCCAGACCUUGACCUAGAACUUGAUGCAAGGACAUUUUACUGAAUCCAUUUUGGCAAGGACUGAGUCUCUCCUCACCAAGAAGGCAGAGAAUGACAAUCAAGGACACAAAACUUAGGUCUUGAUCUAUUCUAAGUUUGAUCUGAUGUUGGGCCUUGUAUCCUGUUUCACAUGAGAUGUUUGUCACUGUUCUUUAAUUUGUCCCUCCAGCCAAAAAUCAAAAUCAAUCUACAUCUUCCUGACUCUACUGACAAGUAGGAACUGGAGGAAAUAAGGGAAAUGUCACAUUUAAAUAAAAGACAGACUGAGGUU
Long non-coding RNA from Rhincodon typus (whale shark), 836 nucleotides. RefSeq lists it as uncharacterized. The record is from RefSeq and is a predicted model, not a curated record. Lineage: Eukaryota; Metazoa; Chordata; Chondrichthyes; Orectolobiformes; Rhincodontidae. The transcript has 3 exons.